CCUACGGGUGGCAGCAGUGAGGAAUAUUGGUCAAUGGACGAGAGUCUGAACCAGCCAAGUAGCGUGAAGGAUGACUGCCCUAUGGGUUGUAAACUUCUUUUAUAAAGGAAUAAAACGAGGCACGUGUGCCUGUUUGCAUGUACUUUAUGAAUAAGGAUCGGCUAACUCCGUGCCAGCAGCCGCGGUAAUACGGAGGAUCCGAGCGUUAUCCGGAUUUAUUGGGUUUAAAGGGAGCGUAGAUGGGUUGUUAAGUCAGUUGUGAAAGUUUGGGGCUCAACCAUAAAAUUGCAAUUGAUACUGGAAGACUUGAGUGCAGUUGAGGUAGGCGGAAUUCGUGGUGUAGCGGUGAAAUGCUUAGAUAUAACGAAGAACCCCGAUUGCGAAGGCAGCUUACUAACCUGUGACUGACAUUGAUGCACGAAAGUGUGGGGAUCAAACAGGAUUAGAUACCCGUGUAGUC
RNAcentral lists this ribosomal RNA (460 nucleotides) under uncultured bacterium. RNAcentral's name for it is "partial 16S ribosomal RNA". It matches the Rfam family "Bacterial small subunit ribosomal RNA", at positions 338 to 795 of the family's 1533-position model. The record is from RNAcentral.